RNAcentral lists this ribosomal RNA (413 nucleotides) under uncultured Actinomycetes bacterium. Its description in RNAcentral is "bacterial SSU rRNA". It matches the Rfam family "Bacterial small subunit ribosomal RNA", at positions 30 to 435 of the family's 1533-position model. The record is from RNAcentral. Lineage: Bacteria; Bacillati; Actinomycetota; Actinomycetes.
ACUGAGGGGUGCUGGCGCAGCUUAACACAUGCUAGUCGAACAAUGGAAAGCCGGAGCUAGUUCUAGCUGGAUUGUUGGCGAACGGGCGAGUAACACGUGAGCAAUCGGCCGGUGACUCUGAGGAAACUUCGAGAAAUCGAUGCUAAUACCGGAUACGACCCUUCCAGGCAUCUGGUGAGGGUGGAAAGAACUUUGGUCAGGGAUGAGCUCGCGGCCUAUCAGCUAGUUGGUGAGGUAAUGGCUCACCAAGGCGACGACGGGUAGCCGGCCUGAGAGGGUGACCGGCCACACUGGGACUGAGACACGGCCCAGACUCCUACGGGAGGCAGCAGUGGGGAAUAUUGCACAAUGGGCGCAAGCCUGAUGCAGCGACGCCGCGUGAGGGACGAAGGCCUUCGGGUUGUAAACCUCUU